Molecule: long non-coding RNA, 943 nt
Filed under: Phaseolus vulgaris (common bean)
Lineage: Eukaryota; Viridiplantae; Streptophyta; Magnoliopsida; Fabales; Fabaceae
Description: long non-coding RNA (PVUL_LNC001520)
Source: RNAcentral
GACGAAACAGUGUAUCAUAAUAGUUUUUUCAAAUAAAAUAUUAUGGAUUUUAAAUGUUAAUAUAUCAAUAUCUUAGUAUAAAGUACAAUUUUUAGUAUAGAAAACACUCAACAAGAAUAAAAAACUUGUGGCUUAAGAUCUGAUGGGAGGUGGGUCCUAUAACAUUCACAGGUUGGCUCGGCUCUUGCAAACUCAUACAAUGUGGGGCAUCUCGUGUCUCACUCAAACCUCAUAAUAUCAUCACCAUCUUCAUCUUCAUCUUCAACAUGUUCAUACCUUUACUUUCUUCCCCCAAAGGGUAUAGCUACCACAUACCACUAUCAUUGAUUUCAAUUGUGAUAGUACUUGAAGAAAUUGAGGACUUGUAUUAGAAAAAACAACAUGAUGGAGAAUUACUUGAGCUGGGCACAGGCUUUAGCUUCCGCAUGGGGAUUUAUGUUGGUGGUGGCUCUCAUGUGUUGCUGCCUCAGCACCAAACCAAGACAAGAUAGUGAUGUUAUCUCUGGAAAUGGUGGUUGCACUUGUGAUGGUGGUGGCCAAGCUUGUGUUUGAUUCUUUUUCUUCAUUCAGUUAUCUCUCUCCUUUUGGGUCUCUUCCAUCUUUUUCUCAGAUGUGGGUUAGAUACUUGAUGUAUAUAUAGCUGAUUAACUUAGUGUCAGUUUCCUUUCAGCUUUUAUAUAUUGUUUAGUUUAGAUAGACUUGGUAGUGAGAGGUUCUUAUUCAAACCAUUUUGUAAUUUAGUAAUAUUCAGCUUAUUGAAGGAUAAGUAGAAGGGUUGCAGGUAUAUAUUCAGUGCUCUAAAUUUGAGUUCUCUUGCCAUUUUUCUUUCUACUUUUACUUUUAUUUAUAGCUUUAUAAGCAGUUCACAGUUUUCCUUUGCCAUUGUUAUUAAUACAACAAAGGAUAAACUAAAAACUCAUGAAUGAAAAUCCAUAGGUUUUGU